RNAcentral lists this ribosomal RNA (492 nucleotides) under uncultured bacterium. Its description in RNAcentral is "partial 16S ribosomal RNA". It matches the Rfam family "Bacterial small subunit ribosomal RNA", at positions 29 to 507 of the family's 1533-position model. The record is from RNAcentral.
AGUGAACGCUGGCGGUAGGCCUAACACAUGCAAGUCGAACGGCAGCACAGUAAGAGCUUGCUCUUACGGGUGGCGAGUGGCGGACGGGUGAGGAAUACAUCGGAAUCUACUUUUUCGUGGGGGAUAACGUAGGGAAACUUACGCUAAUACCGCAUACGACCUACGGGUGCAAGCAGGGGAUCUUCGGACCUUGCGCGAUUGAAUGAGCCGAUGUCGGCUUCGCUAGUUGGCGGGGUAAAGGCCCACCAAGGCCACGAUCCGUAGCUGGUCUGAGAGGAUGAUCAACCACACUGGAACUGAGACACGGUCCAGACUCCUACGGGAGGCAGCAGUGGGGAAGAGUGGACAAUGGGCGCAAGCCUGAUCCAGCCAUACCGCGGGGGUGAAGUAGGCCUUCGGGUUGUAAAGCCCUUUUGUUGGGAAAGAAAAGCAGCAGGUUAAUACCCCGCUGUUCUGACGGUACCCAAAGAAUAAGCACCGGCUAACUUCGUG